RNAcentral lists this ribosomal RNA (497 nucleotides) under uncultured bacterium. RNAcentral describes it as "partial 16S ribosomal RNA". It matches the Rfam family "Bacterial small subunit ribosomal RNA", at positions 28 to 507 of the family's 1533-position model. The record is from RNAcentral.
GAUGAACGCUGGCGGCGUGCCUAAUACAUGCAAGUCGAGCGAACAGACGAGGAGCUUGCUCCUCUGACGUUAGCGGCGGACGGGUGAGUAACACGUGGAUAACCCACCUAUAAGACUGGGAUAAUUUCGGGAAACCGGAGCUAAUACCGGAUAAUAUAUUGAACCGCAUGGUUCAAUAGUGAAAGACGGUUUUGCUGUCACUUAUAGAUGGAUCCGCGCCGCAUUAGCUAGUUGGUAAGGUAACGGCUUACCAAGGCAACGAUGCGUAGCCGACCUGAGAGAGUGAUCGGCCACACUGGAGCUGAGACGCGGUCCAGACUCCUACGGGAGGCAGCAGUAGGGAAUCUGCCGCAAUGGGCGAGAGCCUGACGGAGCAACGCCGCGUGAGUGAUGAAGGUCUUCGGAUCGUAAAACUCUGUUAUUAGGGAAGAACAAAUGUGUAAGUAACUAUGCACGUCUUGACGGUACCUAAUCAGAAAGCCACGGCUAACUACGUG